GACAGCGGUGAUAGCGCGUUAAAUGCAUCAGUUUAGAAUGGAUCACUGCAGUAACGUUCCGCGUGGUUGGUAACCGGAUGGGUGACCAUCUGAGCAAUCGCGAGCUGCUGGCU
Molecule: ribosomal RNA, 113 nt
Filed under: Diaphorina citri (Asian citrus psyllid)
Lineage: Eukaryota; Metazoa; Arthropoda; Insecta; Hemiptera; Psyllidae
Source: RNAcentral